Punica granatum (pomegranate) is the source of this 2118-nucleotide non-coding RNA. NCBI's taxonomy places the organism in Eukaryota, Viridiplantae, Streptophyta, Magnoliopsida, Myrtales, Lythraceae. The record is from RefSeq and is a predicted model, not a curated record.
UUCACGUGAAAAAAAAUAAUAUGAAACGUUAAUUUUCGAAUGCAAAAAGUUUUCGCCCUCAACCAAUUAGCUCAAAAAUUUAUAGACGGCUCUCUCUUGGUGUUCUCUCCCCAAACCCUAAGAACCCCAAAAUAAAACUGCUGCUGCUGCCGCCGGUGUGUCUAGCUUCGGCGGGGCGUAUCAGAUGGCGAUUCCUCAUCCCCUACGCUGAUUAAUCCUCUCAGUUCUUAACCCCUAAAUCUGACUCCAUUUCCCUCUCUCCUUCGUCUGCUACUUCGCUUCGCUGUUUCAUUUUGAAUUUUUUUGUUGCAGGUCUGCUCCAUCACCGCUGCUCCAAACUACUCCACUACCCAUCUUCCUCCAUCUUAGUUGAUCGCCUUUAGCUAUUCCGAUGAUCGAGCUCAACUCGGAUCCAAACCAUGGCGACUUAUCCUGGUAUGAUUGGAACAUUUGGAGUCUUCUUUGAUCACCGCCACCUCUUCUCCACCAAGAAAAACUCUAGCUACCUGAACGCUCACUGUCAACAAUUUACCAACGUAGUCCGAUGGUACCUACCUGUUUGAUGUUCUAUCUGCUACCCUAGUGUCCACGAGAAGGUUACCUCGGUCUAAUUAGUUUGUCGAUAGUUGUUCGGUCCUGUCUUGUGUCGGGUACGAUUUGUUUGGAUUAUUGUGGGUGUGAUCCCAUGAUUUUUUUUCAUUUUGCUUCUGGGCCAAUUUGACAAAUAAGGGUUUAUUUGAACCCAGUAGUUUUCUGACUGGUACAAACUCUGGCAGACUCAUGGCUGGAAUAGACUCCAGCAGCAUGGAGGCCGGAUUGGCGCUGACAAUGCCAUGUGGUAGUUAACGUAUAUUAUUUGUACUGACUAAUAAAUUAAUUCUUCUUCGCAAAAAAAAAAAAAACCAACUGGGUCAACACUAGAAAUUCCACCCAUAUCCUCUAAGAUGAGCUCUUCUUUGCUUUCACAUAAGGAGAGGCUAAUUCACAUGGAAAAACAUAAGAACAAGUUUUUUAUUAUCUCCAUUUCAUUCCUCACCCUCCAUGGAGCAGUUUUUUUACUUUAAUAAUUAUUAAUCUAUCACAUAGCAGACUAAUUAAUUAGACCAACGAGGUUACAACUCCCGGCUGCUUGUCGUUUUGCACCAGCUACACACAAUUAUAUGAGAAAACAAAAACUUUCCAGACAUAUUAUUUCAUUAAACAAAGACCUUACCUAAUUGUCUACCGAUUAGGGAAAAAAAGAAAAAAAAAUGGAAAAGAAAAGGAAAGACAAGACCUUAUAAUUUAAUGAAUAUUGAUGGCUACAUAAACGUAUGAUCUCAGCUCAAAUCUCAGUGUCUUCAAAACCCUUCAGACCACAUAGAGAGUUAUUCUCAUUCAUUAGGAAAGAUCAGCUCCGAGGGAGUGCAUCAAACGGUCAAUCAUGUCAUCCAAUGAAAGUUGUGUGGAGUGCAUGUGUGGCUGCGUUAUCAUGUCAAUCUGUGCAAUCGUUGCGCCCGUGUUCUAUCUGCUGACAUGUUGCUUCUGCUGCAAUACGUGUGGGACUUGCAUGGAUUGAUUGAUGAGGGCGCCAACACUUGGAUCCACAAAUUUGUAGCGAGUUAAUACAUGGGUUUCCGAAAUUUUUUUUUUCACUGAUUUAGUCCUUGAAUUUUCACAAACUAUAACAUAAAGGGCUUUUCAGGGACUUAAAUGUUAGCCAUAAAAAGAUCGAAAGGGGACUUUUUGUUAUGAUUUUUAAAAAUUCAGGGCCUAAAUCUGUGGUAAAACUUUUUCGAGAACCUACGUGUUGGUCCGGUACAAAUUUGAGGACUCGAGUAUUUGCGGAAUCCUCAUUGAUCUUCCACAGCCCAGAUCAUGUCUUUCAUUUAACUCAUCAUCAACGGGUCCACAAUGAAAAAGCCAAAAAUAAGCAAAAUAAAAGGAAGCCGGUGGAUGUAUUUUCCUUUCUGAACUGCCUCUUCUUGUUGAUUUUUCCUUUCGUUGUUUUAGGGCUAUGUCGUCGAUUGUCAAUUGACGGUCUAGCUAUCUUCUUAAUAUAUGUGUGCACGGUAUGUGUAAUUUCCUUUUUCUGUUUCUAUCGAUAAAUGAAAUUAGCCAUUGUGAGCAUUCUUGCUA